RNAcentral lists this ribosomal RNA (467 nucleotides) under uncultured bacterium. RNAcentral's name for it is "bacterial SSU rRNA". It matches the Rfam family "Bacterial small subunit ribosomal RNA", at positions 336 to 793 of the family's 1533-position model. The record is from RNAcentral.
CUCCUACGGGGAGGCAGCAGUGGGGAAUAUUGCACAAUGGGGGAAACCCUGAUGCAGCCAUGCCGCGUGUGUGAAGAAGGCCUUCGGGUUGUAAAGCACUUUCAGUAGGGAGGAAGGUAGUGUAGUUAACACCUGCAUUAUUUGACGUUACCUACAGAAGAAGCACCGGCUAACUCCGUGCCAGCAGCCGCGGUAAUACGGAGGGUGCGAGCGUUAAUCGGAAUUACUGGGCGUAAAGCGCAUGCAGGCGGCCUGUUAAGUCAGAUGUGAAAGCCCGGGGCUUAACCUCGGAAUUGCAUUUGAAACUGGCAGGCUAGAGUCUUGUAGAGGGGGGUAGGAAUUUCAGGUGUAGCGGUGAAAUGCGUAGAGAUCUGAAGGAAUACCAGUGGCGAAGGCGGCCCCCUGGACAAAGACUGACGCUCAGAUGCGAAAGCGUGGGGAGCAAACAGGAUUAGAUACCCUGGUAG